This 711-nucleotide ribosomal RNA is filed under the name Pseudomonadota bacterium. RNAcentral's name for it is "bacterial SSU rRNA". It matches the Rfam family "Bacterial small subunit ribosomal RNA", at positions 28 to 727 of the family's 1533-position model. The record is from RNAcentral. Lineage: Bacteria; Pseudomonadati; Pseudomonadota.
AUUGAACGCUGGCGGCAUGCCUUACACAUGCAAGUCGAACGGCAGCAUGACGUGUAGCAAUACACGUUGAUGGCGAGUGGCGAACGGGUGAGUAAUAUAUCGGAACGUGCCCUGUAGCGGGGGAUAACCUAUCGAAAGAUGGACUAAUACCGCAUACGCUCUACGGAGGAAAGCGGGGGUCGCAAGACCUCGCACUAUAGGAGCGGCCGAUAUCGGAUUAGCUAGUUGGCGGGGUAAAAGCCCACCAAGGCGACGAUCCGUAGCUGGUCUGAGAGGAUGAUCAGCCACACUGGAACUGAGACACGGUCCAGACUCCUACGGGAGGCAGCAGUGGGGAAUUUUGGACAAUGGGCGCAAGCCUGAUCCAGCCAUGCCGCGUGAGUGAAGAAGGCCUUCGGGUUGUAAAGCUCUUUCGGCAGGAACGAAAUGGUUCGUGCUAAUACCACGGACUGAUGACGGUACCUGAAGAAGAAGCACCGGCUAACUACGUGCCAGCAGCCGCGGUAAUACGUAGGGUGCAGGCGUUAAUCGGAAUUACUGGGCGUAAAGCGUGCGCAGGCGGUUUCUUAAGUCAGAUGUGAAAUCCCCGGGCUUAACCUGGGAACUGCGUUUGAAACUGAGAGACUUGAGUGUGGCAGAGGGGGGCGGAAUUCCACGUGUAGCAGUGAAAUGCGUAGAUAUGUGGAGGAACACCGAUGGCGAAGGCAGCCC